AUUUAUAUAAUAUAAAAAGUAUAUUUGACUUCCAAUCAAAUAGUCUAAUCAUUUUUAGUAUAAAUA
This 66-nucleotide transfer RNA is filed under the name Amphizoa insolens. RNAcentral describes it as "tRNA-Gly". The record is from RNAcentral. Lineage: Eukaryota; Metazoa; Arthropoda; Insecta; Coleoptera; Amphizoidae.